Cygnus atratus (black swan) is the source of this 862-nucleotide long non-coding RNA. RefSeq lists it as uncharacterized. The transcript has 4 exons. NCBI's taxonomy places the organism in Eukaryota, Metazoa, Chordata, Aves, Anseriformes, Anatidae. The record is from RefSeq and is a predicted model, not a curated record.
AACCACUGAAAUAUACUUCGGAUCUGUUAUCUUAGAAUGUGAUGUUGCAUUCUCUGAGCAGGGACUCUCCAACUUCCUAAAUGUGAUUUCUUAAGUAUUAUAUAACAGAUGAAAUCUGGGAGCAGGCUUUAGGCAGAACUGGCUCCAUAGGAAGGGACCCAGAUGGGAUAGGAGUGGCAUUCAGAAUUGAUCACGGAUCUGGGUCUCGGGGUGUGCUGUGAUGGAGUCCCACUGGACUAGCCCAAUUCAAGUUUGCUUCUGCAAGAGAACUUAAAAGAAAGUCCCAUUAAUUUCUUUGGUGAAAAAAUACGUCUUCAAUUGUACAACGGUAUGUGUUACUAAAGUAAGAAAACUGUAGAAGUCAUGGCCAAAGAAGAGAAAAGGCUGUAUCUGAAGUUUGUGUGGACACAGGACAGAAAGAGAAUUUUUUAAGAGGAAAGCUAAAUGUAUUGGAACAGAUUCCUCCAGCUGUGUUUGGCUUGCUUGAAUUGUUGGACAGGUCUGAAAAGAAACUGGAGGCUGGCUGCUGUUGCCUGUUCAAGAUUUCCCCUGAGGUGAGAAGAAAGAAAAACCUUGGAAAAGACAACAUAGUUGCUUUUUCAGCUCUUACACUUUCCUGUCAGGUUAACCAUCAUGUAAGGAGUAACAAAAGACUUGCCUGCUCUCACUUGCACAAUGAUGAGGGCACCUACAGUUUAAGAGCUAAGGAGUCAGUUCCUGAGGACUCAACAGGGUCCUUAAUAGAUUUCUUUAAUCAGUCAUUAUCUCAUGAGGAUCAAACAUAUUAAACGCAAAAAGGUAGAACUGAAAGAUUAAAUUAGGACAUGUACAAAGCAAUGAGGAAAAUAAGAAUUAUUUCAAU